This 24-nucleotide small RNA is filed under the name Arabidopsis thaliana (thale cress). Lineage: Eukaryota; Viridiplantae; Streptophyta; Magnoliopsida; Brassicales; Brassicaceae. The record is from RNAcentral.
AUUCAAUAGCAGUUGAUUUUGGGC